CCUACGGGAGGCAGCAGUGGGGAAUAUUGCACAAUGGGGGAAACCCUGAUGCAGCAACGCCGCGUGGGUGAAGGAGCUUUUCGGCGCGUAAAGUCCUUUCAGCGGGGAAGAUGAAAGACGGUACCCGACCAAGAAGCCCCGGCUAACUACGUGCCAGCAGCCGCGGUAAUACGGAGGGGGCGAGCGUUAUCCGGAAUUACUGGGUGUAAAGGGAGCGUAGACGGCGAGGUAAGCCUGAAGUGGAAGCCCGCGGCUCAACCGGGGAACUGCUUUGGAAACUGUUUUGCAGGAGUAUGGGAGGGGUAAGCGGAAUUCCUGGUGUAGCGGUGAAAUGCGUAGAGAUCAAGAGGAACA
This 354-nucleotide ribosomal RNA is filed under the name uncultured bacterium. Its description in RNAcentral is "partial 16S ribosomal RNA". It matches the Rfam family "Bacterial small subunit ribosomal RNA", at positions 338 to 708 of the family's 1533-position model. The record is from RNAcentral.